UGAGGAAUAUUGGACAAUGGGCGCAAGCCUGAUCCAGCCAUGCCGCGUGCAGGAAGAAGCAUCUAUGGUGCGUAAACUGCUUUUGUACGGGAAGAAACACUCCUACGUGUAGGAGCUUGACGGUACCGUAAGAAUAAGGAUCGGCUAACUCCGUGCCAGCAGCCGCGGUAAUACGGAGGAUCCAAGCGUUAUCCGGAAUCAUUGGGUUUAAAGGGUCCGUAGGCGGUUUAAUAAGCCAGUGGUGAAAGCCCAUCGCUCAACGAUGGAACGGCCAUUGAUACUGCUAGACUUGAAUUACAAGGAAGUAACUAGAAUAUGUAGUGUAGCGGUGAAAUGCUUAGAUAUUACAUGGAAUACCAAGUGCGAAGGCAGGUUACUACUUGUGGAUUGACGCUGAUGGACGAAAGCGUGGGGAGCGAACA
Molecule: ribosomal RNA, 422 nt
Filed under: uncultured bacterium
Lineage: Bacteria
Description: bacterial SSU rRNA
Rfam family: Bacterial small subunit ribosomal RNA
Source: RNAcentral